Molecule: ribosomal RNA, 254 nt
Filed under: uncultured bacterium
Lineage: Bacteria
Description: partial 16S ribosomal RNA
Rfam family: Bacterial small subunit ribosomal RNA
Source: RNAcentral
UACAGAGGCCUCGAGCGUUAAUCGGAAUCACUGGGCUUAAAGGGUGCGUAGGCGGUCAGCACAAGUCAGUUGUGAAAUCUCCGGGCUUAACUCGGAAAGGUCAACUGAUACUGUGCGACUAGAGUGCAGAAGGGGCAACUGGAAUUCUCGGUGUAGCGGUGAAAUGCGUAGAUAUCGAGAGGAACACCUGCGGCGAAGGCGGGUUGCUGGGCUGACACUGACGCUGAGGCGCGAAAGCCAGGGGAGCGAACGGG